This 2342-nucleotide long non-coding RNA is filed under the name Aplysia californica (California sea hare). RNAcentral's name for it is "uncharacterized LOC101848770". The record is from RNAcentral. Lineage: Eukaryota; Metazoa; Mollusca; Gastropoda; Aplysiida; Aplysiidae.
UGAAUUUCCGGUGUCGUCGCCUCUUGCCUCUCUCUCUCCUACGUGUGAUUUCAGGCGAAGAUCUGAGGAAGACCUCGACGCCGAAAGAAACCCAAACACAAUGGCAAACAAACAGCGAAUGAGGAUUGCUAGUGAAAAGCACAGCAAAAACAUUACUACGCGAGGAAAUGUCCCCAAAACAUUGAAAAAUUCUGAAGAGAAGUCUCCUGUUGGCCCAGCAUUGAUGGCUUUGUUCUUGUUUGUUGUCUGUGGCUCAGCCGUCUUCCAGAUCAUCCAGAGCAUCCGCAUGUCAUGACGAGACUGACCCCGACUUGGACCAAGCAGAGGGCGGCUGGCUGCGCGAACCUCUCUACUGGCUGCUACACAAGGGAAAAACGGAAACUUUGAGAGAGAAUGUCUGAGCCUAUGUGUACACGUGUUUGUUUGUUGGUUUGUGUGUGUGUGUGUGAGUGAAGAUGUGAAGUGAACUGCUGUAAGCUGGUCUGUCUGUGUGCGCUAGGGUGGCCGGUGUGUUGUGUUUGGUGAGAGAUAUGCAUGGGUGGGAAGAAAAAUAAGAAAAAAAAGCGCCAAAAAACAAAACAAACCCCCACAAAAAGAAAGAAUGAGAAAAAAAAACGACCUAAAAAAUACCUGUGAAAUGUAAUUGCAAUGUAUUUAUGUGGUAGUCCUGUCCUGGUGGAGUGAUGUCCUUUCUCUAUCUCGUCUCGCCGAAGAUGAGUGGGAGGAGGCGUCUGUGCGUGGUUGUGUGCAAGAUUUGAUGGGGGGGGGGGGGGAAUUCUGUUCACCUUUGAGCUCUGUCUGUUCUUUGUUCUUUCUUCCUUCUCUAUACUGCUGUUGUCUGUGGGUACUGUCAUUGAAUCUGAUGAUAGACGGCUGUCGCCCAUUUCCAAAAGUGUUGGUGCUUUUGUCAAUGCUUGUUACAAUUAUGGAACCAGUUGGGACAGAAUCUUUCAGGUUGGAAGAGUUGUUGUUACAUUUUAAUUUUAAUUUGUUGACAUCAAGUUUGUUUUAGAUUCUGCAAGAAAGUAAGUAAGAUUUUGAUGUUAUUUUGUGAUGCCUUUUACUUUUGGUUGUUAGAAGGAUGCCAUUAUUUGAAACUUAGUCAUGGUGCAAGGGUUUGUUUGGGUUUUUUUUGGAUGAUUUUUGUAUAAAAUUUGGGGGAAAGGAAAAGAUGUCUGUUGUGUGAUGAGAAUUCUUGUUCUUUUAGCAGGGCUGCCUACCAUUCCAAUUUUUUCGUAAUCAAUACGAUUUGUUAGCCUCACUACGAAAUUCUGAUCGUAAGGCGAUUUAUUACAAUUUUUACCGCCAGCAGAUUUUUGGCUAUAAAAAAAUAUUUGUAGCUUUUUAAAAAAUUUUACAAGGCUUAGUUCAGACAUGUUAAUCGUCCGCCAAUGGUCGGAAAGCCGCCAAUCUCUAAAUCAACCCCCGCCCCCCCUAAAAAAAAAGAGAACAGCAGGCCCACUUGGCGCGAGUUAGCCUUGCCCACAAUAAUACAUACCGUAUGCGAGUAAAAGCUUAGAAACAUGGCUGCCACGCUCCUGGGACCCAAGCAGUCUGAAAAUUACAUGUAUUUUUGUUCGUUGUAAUAUAGUAAUUUGAAAAUGAGAGCACUAUUACUAAUUUUUUUGGGAAAUUACAAAUUUUCUUCAUGGUCAUUACUAAAAACCAUGGAGAUGGGUUGGCAGCCCUGUUUUAGUAGUCAACCCCUACUGCACACUGUUCCAUUGUUUUUAGCACAUGACAGAUAGUGGAUCUUUAAUUGUAUCCCAAGACAUGGGAUAGAGAAAGAAUGAAGGAAGAUUUUAUGGUUUUUUAAACUGCAGAACUAGUCAGCUUGAGUGGGCUUUGGAGAUUGUGGUAUGAACGGUACGCCACAGAUUUACAUUCUGUGUUUUGUUGAAGUCAAGUGAAAUGUUUCCUCCGAUACUAUUUGAUUUACAUGUUGACAAACGUAAUGAAAUAAAUGGCUAUGGUAGGUGUAUGUAUAGCAAGUUAGUGCAAUUUCCGAUUAUGGGAAAAAAAAUGAAACAGUGCACACACAUCAUCUUACGCUCUCAGCAGAUGUUUAAUGUAAGGAGAAAUGUGAAGACAGAAUUUGUGUUUUUGUAAGUUUCCAACUGGUACAUUAAGUGAUUUUGAAAGUUAUUGCACGGUCCGUCAGCUUCAUCAUCUCUGUCAUCUCUCUCCGUCUGUUGGGCUACGGGUUAUUUUUGUCAAGUUUUUUUCUUCGAUGGAUGAACCAGCGUGCAAUUCUAUGUUUCCCACAGAUACAAACGUUGUCUGGUGUUUGGGUUUUGCCGCACACUUCACAGAAUAAAACUUUACAUUGUUUUAUUUCUUCA